GACGUAGGGCGCGAGCGUUGUCCGGAUUUAUUGGGCGUAAAGAGCUCGUAGGCGGCUUGUCGCGUCGUCCGUGAAAACCUGCGGCUCAACUGCAGGCUGGCGGUCGAUACGGGCAGGCUGGAGUUCGGUAGGGGAGACUGGAAUUCCUGGUGUAGCGGUGAAAUGCGUAGAUAUCGGGAGGAACAUCAGUGGCGAAGGCGGCCUUCUGGUCCAGUACUGACACUCAAGUGCGAAAAGCGUGGGGAGCAAACAGGG
This 255-nucleotide ribosomal RNA is filed under the name uncultured bacterium. Its description in RNAcentral is "partial 16S ribosomal RNA". It matches the Rfam family "Bacterial small subunit ribosomal RNA", at positions 524 to 777 of the family's 1533-position model. The record is from RNAcentral.